UUAAAGUUUUAUUCUGACUUUAAAAAUUAGUUAAAUAUCUUAAUACAUGUAAGAUUUAUCUUGUUAUAAAAUUUCUUUAAAAGAAAGUUAUUUUCAAUCGCAGUAUUUAAUUUUGGUAUUUUGUUGAGGCAUGAAUCAGGGAUUAUUAUUAGUAAUAACACAGCUUGUGCCAGCAGUUGCGGUUACACAAGCAUUACAAUUAAUUUUUAUAUAAUAAAAAUAUAAAUAUUAUUUUUUACGGUUUAUCAAAUUUUUUAGGUGAAAUUUUAAGUUUGGGAUAAGUUAAUAUUUUUGAUAUUUUGAAACCAUUUUAUAAACUAGGAUUAGAUACCCUAUUAUUAUCGGUGUAAACUUAUUAUUAGAUUAGUAUUAGUUAUGUUCUUGAAAAUUAAAGAUUUUGGCGGUAUUCUAGUCCAUUCAGAGGAGCCUGCCCUGUGAUUGAUGCUCCACGAGUUUUUUUACUUUUUCUUUCAGUUUGUAUAUCGUCGUGAUAGGAAAUUCUAAUAAGAUAGUAAUUUUCGUUCUUUUUCUUAGAAAGGAUAUCAGAUCAAGGUGCAGUUUAUGGGAAAGUAGAGGUGGGCUACAAUAAUAUUAUUUAAACGGAUGAGAAUAUUAAAAUAUUCUGAAGGUGGAUUUGAUAGUAAUUUUUGUUUGGAUUACAUGAGUGAUUUUGGCUCUAGAAUAUGCACAUAUCGCCCGUCGCUUUCAAUUAAGUUGAAAUAAGUCGUAACAAAGUAGGCUUAUUGGAAAAUGUGCCUAGAAUGCA
RNAcentral lists this non-coding RNA (766 nucleotides) under Histeridae sp. BMNH 1274739. The record is from RNAcentral. Lineage: Eukaryota; Metazoa; Arthropoda; Insecta; Coleoptera; Histeridae.